UCCCUGGUGGUCCAGUGGUUAGGACUCCUGCUUCCCCUGUAGGAGGCCCAGGUUUGAUCCCUGGUCAGGGAA
Molecule: non-coding RNA, 72 nt
Organism: Odocoileus virginianus texanus
Lineage: Eukaryota; Metazoa; Chordata; Mammalia; Artiodactyla; Cervidae
Source: the annotation of a RefSeq genome assembly